CGCAGCCGCGGUAAUUCCAGCUCCAAUAGCGUAUAUUAAAGUUGUUGCAGUUAAAAAGCUCGUAGUUGAACUUCGGGGUUUACCCAUUGGUCAGGCUUAAUUGUCUGUACUGGUGAGAUAAAUCUCUACCUUCUGAGGAACUUUCAUGUCAUUAAUUUGGUGUGAUUGGAAAUCAGGACUGUUACUUUGAAAAAAUUAGAGUGUUUAAAGCAGGCUAACGUCUGAAUACAUUAGCAUGGAAUAAUGAAAUAGGACGGACUGAUUCUAUUUCGUUGGUUUCUAGGAUCACCGUAAUGAUUAAUAGGGAUAGUUGGGGGCAUUAGUAUUCAAUUGUCAGAGGUGAAAUUCUUGGAUUUAUUGAAGACUAACUACUGCGAAAGCAUUUGCCAAGGAUGUUUUCAUUAAUCAAGAACGAAAGUUAGGGGAUCGAAGACGAUCAGAUACCGUCGUAGUCUUAACCAUAAACUAUGCCGACUAGGGAUCGGACGAAGUUAAUUUUAUAAUUGACGCGUUCGGCACC
RNAcentral lists this ribosomal RNA (520 nucleotides) under uncultured Diversispora. RNAcentral describes it as "SSU rRNA". It matches the Rfam family "Eukaryotic small subunit ribosomal RNA", at positions 569 to 1087 of the family's 1831-position model. Lineage: Eukaryota; Fungi; Glomeromycota; Glomeromycetes; Diversisporales; Diversisporaceae. The record is from RNAcentral.